UACAGAGGGGGCAAGCGUUAUUCGGAAUUAUUGGGCGUAAAGGGCGCGUAGGCGGCUUUGCAAGUGACGGGUGAAAGCCCUCGGCUUAACCGAGGAACUGCCUGUCAGACUGUGAGGCUUGAGACCAGGAGAGGUGAGUGGAAUUCCCAGUGCAGCGGUGAAAUGCGUAGAUAUUGGGAGGAACACCAGUGGCGAAGGCGGCUCACUGGACUGGUACUGACGCUGAGGCGCGAAAGCGUGGGGAGCAAACAGG
RNAcentral lists this ribosomal RNA (253 nucleotides) under uncultured bacterium. RNAcentral describes it as "partial 16S ribosomal RNA". It matches the Rfam family "Bacterial small subunit ribosomal RNA", at positions 524 to 776 of the family's 1533-position model. The record is from RNAcentral.